Molecule: ribosomal RNA, 497 nt
Filed under: uncultured bacterium
Lineage: Bacteria
Description: partial 16S ribosomal RNA
Rfam family: Bacterial small subunit ribosomal RNA
Source: RNAcentral
GAUGAACGCUGGCGGCGUGCCUAAUACAUGCAAGUCGAGCGAACGGACGAGAAGCUUGCUUCUCUGAUGUUAGCGGCGGACGGGUGAGUAACACGUGGAUAACCUACCUAUAAGACUGGGAUAACGUCGGGAAACCGGAGCUAAUACCGGAUAAUAUUUUGAACCGCAUGGUUCAAAAGUGAAAGACGGUCUUGCUGUCACUUAUAGAUGGAUCCGCGCUGCAUUAGCUAGUUGGUAAGGUAACGGCUUACCAAGGCAACGAUGCAUAGCCGACCUGAGAGGGUGAUCAGCCACACUGGAACUGAGACACGGUCCAGACUCCUACGGGAGGCAGCAGUAGGGAAUCUUCCGCAAUGGGCGAAAGCCUGACGGAGCAACGCCGCGUGAGUGAUGAAGGUCUUCGGAUCGUAAAACUCUGUUAGUAGGGAAGAACAUAUGUGUAAGUAACUGUGCACAUCUUGACGGUACCUAAUCAGAAAGCCACGGCUAACUACGUG